Glycine soja is the source of this 1186-nucleotide long non-coding RNA. RefSeq lists it as uncharacterized. NCBI's taxonomy places the organism in Eukaryota, Viridiplantae, Streptophyta, Magnoliopsida, Fabales, Fabaceae. The transcript is spliced from 3 exons. The record is from RefSeq and is a predicted model, not a curated record.
AGCCUUCUUGUCCUCUCAAGUAGCUGUCGUAGGUGAAAGCCCUUCCCAUUGAAUCAACACUUGAUCAAUGUAGCCACGGCCAAGACGAAGCAUGUGGCUCUCUAGGAUGGCAGAAGGCACCAAAGGCAUAAUAGUUUCAGUGACGUGGGUCGUUAAUGGAGGUGGAGUAGUUGAAGGAGUUUCGUAGAAAGCUUUUAACUUUGUAGGAUAUGAUUGGUCACCCCAGUCUCUCCAUUGGAAUAAGGAUGAUAGGUGCUACUAAAAGCGAGUGUUAUGCCUUGUAAAUGAAAGAGAUCUCACCAAAAGCGGUUGUUAAAUACACGAUCACAAUCAUUGACAAUCAACUUAGGCAUGUCAUGAAGCUUGUAGAUGUCACUUAAGAACAUAGGUGCAACGGAAGCAACGGAGAACUUGGCUGGUAAUGUUUUGAAGUGAGUAUACUUUGUCAAACAAUCUACAAUCACCUAGGUUUGCACAUACUCCUUGACAUCCCGACACAUGUGUGGCCAUGAAAAGGAAGCUGCCAAACAUAUAAGCAUGCCUUUAACACUUGAGUGUCCUCCUGCAAGGGUGGCAUGGCAAUCUUGAAGCAAUUGAAAGCAAAGCGCAGACUCUAGUGGAACAAAUAAGCACUGUUGGAAAUACGAGACACCAUCUAUAAAGGUUAAUUAGGCAAGUUUGUGAAGUGUUGAUGUUCACACACUCGCUAAGCUAGCAGAUUGGCAUAGCGAGCCAUCCGCUGAGCGUAACAUUCCUCGGCUAAGCGCGAGGAAGAAUUUGGAAGAAGGAUGAGCUGUGCAUGUUCGUUGAGUAAAGGGUCAUCCCGCUAAGCGCACCACUUCAGUCCAUCCGCUGAGCGAGAAAGGCAUGCGCUAAGCCGAAAUUCACUAAUGCGCGCUAAGCAGUUCAGAGUUGCGCUAAGUGUGCAAGCACGAACAAAGCCUUCUAUUUAAGCCUGAAAUCAGAUUUUGGAAGGGAGUUUGGUCUUUUCUUGAAGCUUCUGCAUGUCUAGGGUUUUCUAGAGAAAGAAAGGUCCAAGAUCCAGAGAGUUUGAGAGAUUUUCCUGUGUGAAGAUCCGUAGAGACCGAAGCUUGAAGAAGUUGUCCUGAGAGCUUGAGAUGAGUUUGUGAGUGAUUGUGAGGUCCUAGAGGUGGAGGAGACAUCCCCACCACUUAUAUUUCUUCAA